GAUGAACGCUGGCGGCGUGCCUAAUACAUGCAAGUCGAGCGAACAGACGAGGAGCUUGCUCCUCUGACGUUAGCGGCGGACGGGUGAGUAACACGUGGAUAACCUACCUAUAAGACUGGGAUAACUUCGGGAAACCGUAGCUAAUACCGGAUAAUAUAUUGAACCGCAUGGUUCAAUAGUGAAAGACGGUUUUGCUGUCACUUAUAGAUGGAUCCGCGCCGCAUUAGCUAGUUGGUAAGGUAACGGCUUACCAAGGCGACGAUGCGUAGCCGACCUGAGAGGGUGAUCGGCCACACUGGAACUGAGACACGGUCCAGCCUCCUACGGGAGGCAGCAGUAGGGAAUCUUCCGCAAUGGGCGAAAGCCUGACGGAGCAACGCCGCGUGAGUGAUGAAGGUCUUCGGAUCGUAAAACUCUGUUAUUAGGGAAGAACAAAUGUGUAAGUAAUUAUGCACGUCUUGACGGUACCUAAUCAGAAAGCCACGGCUAACUACGUG
This 497-nucleotide ribosomal RNA is filed under the name uncultured bacterium. RNAcentral's name for it is "partial 16S ribosomal RNA". It matches the Rfam family "Bacterial small subunit ribosomal RNA", at positions 28 to 507 of the family's 1533-position model. The record is from RNAcentral.